GGCAACGUAGCUCAGUGGUAGAGCAGGGGACUCAUAAGCCCUUGGUCGGUGGUCCGAAUCCACCCGUUGCCACCA
RNAcentral lists this transfer RNA (75 nucleotides) under Chloroflexota bacterium. RNAcentral's name for it is "tRNA-Met". It matches the Rfam family "tRNA". From Rfam's summary of the family: Transfer RNA (tRNA) molecules are approximately 80 nucleotides in length. Their secondary structure includes four short double-helical elements and three loops (D, anti-codon, and T loops). Further hydrogen bonds mediate the characteristic L-shaped molecular structure. tRNAs have two regions of fundamental functional importance: the anti-codon, which is responsible for specific mRNA codon recognition, and the 3' end, to which the tRNAs corresponding amino acid is attached (by aminoacyl-tRNA synthetases). tRNAs cope with the degeneracy of the genetic code in two manners: having more than one tRNA (with a specific anti-codon) for a particular amino acid; and 'wobble' base-pairing, i.e. permitting non-standard base-pairing at the 3rd anti-codon position. The record is from RNAcentral. Lineage: Bacteria; Bacillati; Chloroflexota. RNAcentral also lists the same sequence under 2 other names.